UACUCGAGUGGCUAACGGGUGAGUAACACGUGGGUGAUCUGCCCUGCACUUCGGGAUAAGCCUGGGAAACUGGGUCUAAUACCGGAUAGGAGCCAUUUUUAGUGUGAUGGUUGGAAAGUUUUUUCGGUGUAGGAUGAGCUCGCGGCCUAUCAGCUUGUUUGUGGGGUAAUGGCCUACCAAGGCGGCGACGGGUAGCCGGCCUGAGAGGGUGGACGGCCACAUUGGGACUGAGAUACGGCCCAG
Molecule: ribosomal RNA, 243 nt
Filed under: uncultured Actinomycetales bacterium
Lineage: Bacteria; Bacillati; Actinomycetota; Actinomycetes; Actinomycetales
Description: partial 16S ribosomal RNA
Rfam family: Bacterial small subunit ribosomal RNA
Source: RNAcentral